Molecule: ribosomal RNA, 221 nt
Filed under: uncultured bacterium
Lineage: Bacteria
Description: partial 16S ribosomal RNA
Rfam family: Bacterial small subunit ribosomal RNA
Source: RNAcentral
GUUCUCAGUUCGGACUGCAGUCUGCAACUCGACUGCACGAAGCUGGAAUCGCUAGUAAUCGCGGAUCAGCACGCCGCGGUGGAUACGUUCCCGGGCCUUGUACACACCGCCCGUCACACCAUGGAAGUCUGCAAUGCCCGAAGCCGGUGGCCUAACCACUUAUGUGGAAGGAGCCGCCUAAGGCAGGGCAGACGACUGGGGUGAAGUCGUAACAAGGUACC